Long non-coding RNA from Polistes canadensis, 884 nucleotides. RefSeq lists it as uncharacterized. The record is from RefSeq and is a predicted model, not a curated record. The transcript has 3 exons. Lineage: Eukaryota; Metazoa; Arthropoda; Insecta; Hymenoptera; Vespidae.
CAUUGCAAUCGAGCGCGUAGGCAAUGAAGUACUCGUGUGUUGCAUCAAUAAAAUACAAUAUAAAAAAGUCGGAAAGUAGAAUCAGUGUUGAUCGUCGCAUGUAUCGUCGUUUGCUCGGGUAAAGAAACUCCGUAAGUUUCUUUUAUUCGGAUUAAACGUGUGCUCAUCGUCAUCCUAAGGGUAGGACACCCAUCGUGCAUUCAUCACUGAAGAAUAAACAUCAUCAUGGGAAUAUUGCAGUGUUGGAAGUGUUAGUGAAUUGUGUUUGUGAAGUGUUGCAAGUGUUCGUGCAUUGCAAUCGUGCGCGAAGCAAUAUACGAGAGUGUUUGAUCGCGUUUAAAUAUAAUUAAAAUCACGGAUUAGAAGCACGUUCGUUCGUUAAUUUCAAUUCCGUCGCGUUCGCGAACUAUUUUUGCAAUUUAUAUAUUAAAUUUACUGCGACCAAUGCAGUAAUUGCAUUAGAGUUUGUUCGAGUAAAGUUGUAUUUUUAUCUUUAAACAGUCGUACAGACUGUUCGCGUAUUAGAGUCAGUGCAUCAAUGAAGAUUUUAAAUUCAACGCGUUUCGGGAUUAAAAUAAAGUGUGAAAUUUUUUUGUUUCAAUAGACUGUGUGCAAAGCAGUCUUUGGAUGCAGUUGUAGAGUCAGUGAUCGGGCGCAUAAUAAAUUAAAAUCAUCCAGAGUUUAGGACAUGAAGAAAGAAGACGCAUUAUGCCGAAGAGGCUAAGGCCGAAGAGACCCCCACUUAAUUGUGGCUGAAGAGGGCAACUACAUAGAUUAUUGAGUUAUUUUCAAAGGUGAUCAUCGUUGGAUUUAUCAUCAAACCUUCUGGAUUCUUUUUUAUUUGAGUGUCUUAAAUUGCUUCAUUUUAAAAUAUACAUAUAAAU